UGGGCCUCAGCACCCCCAAACAGGCGAACCUGUGUGUUCUUUGAGGCCCCUGGAGUGCGGGGAAGCACAAAGACACUGGGAGAGCUGCUAGAUACAGGCACAGAGCUCCCCAGAGCUAUCCGCUGCCUCUACAGCCGCUGCUGCUUUGGGAUCUGGAACCUGACCCAAGACCGGGCACAGGUGGAAAUGCAAGGAUGCCGAGACAGUGAUGAGCCAGGCUGUGAGUCCCUCCACUGUGACCCAAGUCCCCGAGCCCACCCCAGCCCUGGCUCCACUCUCUUCACCUGCUCCUGUGGCACUGACUUCUGCAAUGCCAAUUACAGCCAUCUGCCUCCUCCAGGGAGCCCUGGGACUCCUGGCUCCCAGGGUCCCCAGGCUGCCCCAGGUAGCCACCCAAGGGUACUGAAGCCUGAUGGGGGCUGGGGCCCAGGUUAGGAUGAGAGGUGGAACCAGGGCCAGUUCUCACCCUACUCCCGCCCCACACUUUCCUCCUCCUGGCCUUGGGAAGUUGGUUGCCCUGGUGACUGGGAGAUAAGGGGUCUUGUGACCAGGGUGGGGGUGGGUUGAGACGCAAGCUCUCAGGAGGGGAAGAGCAGAGAGCAGGUUUG
Molecule: small RNA, 608 nt
Filed under: Pan troglodytes (chimpanzee)
Lineage: Eukaryota; Metazoa; Chordata; Mammalia; Primates; Hominidae
Description: retained intron
Source: RNAcentral